GUUUGAACAAUAAAUCUAUAAAUCUAUUGGUACUCUAUUGGUACUCUAUGACAACAGUCCAGUCGUCGUGAACCGUGCGCCAGAUUCCAGGUUAAACCUGCUACGUGUGGUCUGAGUUCCAUAAUGAUUCAAAUAGGCUACAUGUCUCAAAUUAUCGCACAAUGUUAUCCUAAUAUGAUCCACUAAUGCUAACGACCCUCAGGAACAACUACAGGGGCUUGAGGAAAGAAAGGUCGACAGAUCACUUCCCAUAGACGAGUUGGCAGACAAAGUCAGGAAAAUGAUGCGCGCAUCGAUGGGGUCAGAAGCUGUGCGUUGUUAUGAUUCUGAACGGUCAGCUAGCAGCAAUGACAACAAGCUGCCAUGUGGGGAAUCGUAGGUGGAUUGUUCGUUUCAGCUAGGCACGACUCCAACACCAUCAUCAAGUUUGCCGAUGAGACAUCCAAUAGGGAGGUCAGAGACCUGGCCGUGUGGUGCCAGGACAACAACCUCUCCCUCAACGUGAUCAAGACAAAGGAGAUGAUUGUGGACUACAGGAAAAGGAGGACCGAGCACGCCUCCAUUCUCAUCGACAGGGCUGUAGUGGAGCAGGUUGAGAGCUUCAAGUUCCUUGGUGUCCACAUCACCAACAAACUAUCAUGAUCCAAACACACCAAGACAGUCAUGAAGAGGGCAUGACAAAGGCUAUUCCCCCUCAGGAGACUGAAAAGAUUUGGCAUGGGUCCUCAGAUCCUCAAAAGGUUCUACAGCUGCACCAUCGAGAACAUCCUGACUGGUUGCAUCACUGCCUGGUAUGGCAACUGCUUGGACUCUGACCGCAAGGCACUACAGAGGGUAGUGUGUACAGCCCAGUACAUCACUGGGCCAAGCUUCCUGCCAUCCAGGACCUCUAUACCAGGUGGUGUCAGAGGAAGGCCCUAAAAUUUGUCAAAGACUCCAGCCAUCCUAGUCAUAGACUGUUCUCUCCGCUAUCGCAUGGCAAGCGGUACCGGAGCGCCAAGUCUAAGUCCAAAAAGCUUCUUAUAACAGCUUCUCUCAUUUAUUAUCUAUGCAUAGUCACUUUAACUCUACCUACAUGUAUAUAUUACCUCAAUUACCUCGAAUAACCGGUGCCCCCGCACUUUGACUCUGUACUGGUACCCCGUGUAUAUAGCCUCGAUAUUGUUAUUUUACUGCUGCUGUUUAAUUAUGUGUUACUUUUAUUUUCUAUGUUUUACUUAUCAAUUUUUUUACUUAACACUUAUUUUUUUUAACUGCAUUGUUGGUUAAGGGCUUGUAAGUAAGCAUUUCACUGUACGGUCUACACCUGUUGUAUUCGGCGCAUGUGACAAAUACAAUUUGAUUUGAUUUGAUUAGAAAGCUAAACAUCUCCCUAGUUAGCUAGUUGACUGCUGUGGCUAGCCAAAAGGGACUUGUUUUGAAAGUUGGAUCAUGUAAUCCUUUGGGGCUCCAGAGUGGUGCAGCGGUCUAAGGCACUGCCUCUCAGUGCAAGAGGUGUCACUAUAGUCCAUGGUUCAAUUCCAGGCUGUCUCACACCCGGCCGUGAUUGGGAGUCCCAUAGGGUGGUGCACAACUGGCCCAGUGUCACGUCCUGACCAGUAUAAGGGUUAUUUGUUAUUGUAGUUUGGUCAGGACGUGGCAGAGGGUAUUUGUUUUAUGUGGUUCGGGGUGGUGGUUUAUUUAGUAGGGCGUUUGAUUUAUUAUUUCCGGGUUUUGGUUUAUGUUCUAUGUUUUGUACUUCUAUGUUCUUUCUGUGUUGGUAUAUUUCUAUGCUUAGGUUAAUGGGGGGUUGGACUCUCAAUUGGAGGCAGGUGCUUUCUCGUUGCCUCUGAUUGAGAGUCCUAUAUAUGGGUAAUUGUUUGGUUUAGUGUUUGUGGGAGAUGUCUCUUGUUUUGCGUGUCUAUGCCUGACAAGACUGUUGUGUUGAUCGUUAGUUCUUCGUUGUUUGUUGUUUUGGUGUUCACUUUAUUUUCAAAUAAAUCAAGAUGAGCAUCCCACAUUCCUGCUGCGUUUUGGUCCUCCAUUCCAGACGACAACCGUGACACCCAGUGUCAUCCUGGUUUGGCUGGGGUAGGCUGUCAUUGUAAAUAAGAAUGUGUUCUUAACUGACUUGCCUAGUUAAAUAAAUAUAAAAAUCCUUUGAGGCUUUAGACAUG
RNAcentral lists this long non-coding RNA (2156 nucleotides) under Salmo salar (Atlantic salmon). RNAcentral describes it as "lncRNA (ENSSSAG00000121568.1)". Lineage: Eukaryota; Metazoa; Chordata; Actinopteri; Salmoniformes; Salmonidae. The record is from RNAcentral.